This 609-nucleotide small RNA is filed under the name Desulforamulus ruminis DSM 2154. The record is from RNAcentral. Lineage: Bacteria; Bacillati; Bacillota; Clostridia; Eubacteriales; Peptococcaceae.
AAUUCCUAAAUAAUAAGUGAUACAGUAUUCUAGUCAGCAUUCACUUUCUGAAGGCGGGCCUAAAAAUCCGUUAAGGGCACAACGAUGAAGUUCCUGGCGCUGGCUUUCGACGCCCAGUUGGGGGCUGGUACUGGGAGUUAAGGGGAAAGGGCAACCUGCAAUGGCAUGUGGGCAUUGACCCCGUCCCCGUGGAGACCCAAGUAUGUGGAGCGUUGGAGACGACAAACUACGGCUUGGUUGUGAACCUGCAUGUGGUAGGAAGCUGCGUGCAGUGUAGCCUGACUUGAAGUGGCACCGGUGGAUUCCUCUGGUACGAUCACAGAAUACGGGCCCGUAAUUUGUGAUUGUGGGAUGAAACCCUUGCUGCAAAAGAGUCUAAGAAAGAUGGAUGCUGUCGGGGAAAACUCCUAGGCUGUUCGGCUGCCGCCGGGGCAGGCCAGGGAUUAAAGUGUGGACUAAGUGGUAAUCUAGCCCUGAGCGCGGUGACGCCUCAGAUACGGUUUAAUGGGAAACCGCCGGUUUGGCGACAUCCGGUACCGUUAUGGGAAAACCUGCUGGACCUAAGCCACAACAUUUACCUGGUCUGCUGUCACUUAUUCAAAUUUCAUA